This 1019-nucleotide long non-coding RNA is filed under the name Homo sapiens (human). RNAcentral's name for it is "LincRNA-BC2". Lineage: Eukaryota; Metazoa; Chordata; Mammalia; Primates; Hominidae. The record is from RNAcentral.
CUGGCCUGUACUCAGAUCUUCGCGGAGCGGAUCAGCGGCCGGAGCGUUUGGCGGACUCUGCGUGGACUUGGAGCUCACAGCGUCUUGCGACUUGGAAGCGGAUUCAGAGGACAGGACAGAACACUUGGGCAAGUGAAUCUCUGUCUGUCUGUCUGUCUGUCUGUCUCAUUGGUUGGUUGAUUUCCAUUUUCUUAAGGGGCACAUACCUCACACCGCACACACACAAACACACACCGCACACACAAACACACACACACACACACGCGCACACACACACUCCUUCCUUCUGCGAGUUAGAAAAUUGGUACGGGCCCCUGGGAGCUGCAGGUUUCCUAAUCAUGUCUGCACCUAAGAACAGUAGGGUCUUGUCUGGCUCUUCUUAUGAACGGUCCCCCAGCUGGGACUCCCCAAGGUCCAUGCGAGCCUCACCCAGCUUCUCCCUCUCCCCUCUCAGAAACUCAGGCUUAAGGGGAAGCUCCUCACCAGGGAUCCGGAGCUACCAUUCACCAUCCCCUAGGGCUUCACCACACUCACCUCUGUCAUCACCAGAAUCCCACAAGCUCCCAUUUCCCUGUCCUCACCGUGAUGGGCAAUCAAUGAAGCCAUUGGGCUCUCCCGUGUCCUCCUCUGAGGAUUCCUCAGAGUCCCCACGUUCAUCAAUAAUAUACCACAUGCUCUUACUGCCAUCACCCAGCAGCUCACCCCCAGCUCUCGGGGGGUCUCCUGUGUCUCCCAGCUACUCUCCAAACAACCCCAGAUUUCAGCUGGAGUCAGCCCCCCACACCCAGGAAUCACCUACAAACUCACGAGCCUCACGGUGCUCCACCCCUGUGUCUUUCAUCUCUUCACCCCCAGGCCUCAGGGACUCUCCUGUGGCUCCCAGUUACUCUUCAGCCAUCCCCAGGUUCCUGCGGGAGCCAGCCCCAUGCACCCAGGAGUCCCCCAGAGACUCACAGGUCUCGGGAGAAUAUGAGCGGUCCCCCAGCCCUGACUCCUCAAGAUUCAUGCCUGCCUCACCC